GGAAUUUUCCACUCGGGGCCGUUCAGGCAGGCUCUGGGUGCGCCAGCACGCGCCGGGGCCCGCGUCUCCCUGCUCCCCCCAAAAAUCCCAUUUCCCUGCGCUUCCCGAGCCUUUCAGACUCAUUCCUAAAUGAUUCCUCUACUGCAGCUGGAGAAGACAAACCAUGGGAUGGUUCCGCGAUGGAGGAAGGGGUGGAUGGGAAGUGUGAAGGAAUAUGUUUGAGGCACUGAUUGCAUCUAAAUUCUGCAAAUCUUUUAUUACUUUUCCCAUGGUCUGUGAGAAAAAACAAACAAACAAGCAAACAAACAAAAAAACACACCACAGCAGAAGAUGCCAGCCGGGGUGAGAAAUGGGGGGAAUCCUUUUGCUCCUGGAAAAGGAAACUCCCUGCAGCCUGGAGGCCUGGGAAUAGCACUCCUGCACAUGUUGGAAGGUGAUUUUUAGGAGCCGCCCAGCCCGAGGGUCCCGCACUGGGAUGCCCCUCAGCGAUGCAGGGAUGGAAGGCAGGUCCAGGUGUUGGAUUUUGGAGUUGCUUCGAUGCUCUGUUCACUGGACCCUCGGGGGAAACUGAGGCAUAAAGGGAGGAAGCCACAACUCAUCUUCCAUGGGAUGCUGUAAAAUCGUUGCUCCCGGGAGUUUGUCUCUCUGGGAGAUUCCCCUGCACCUUUUCCAUGGGCAAAGCCUUUUUGGGAUGAUCUUUGAGAGGUCUCUCCAGGUGGGAGGGGCUGAUCUUGGCCCUGCAAAGGGCUUUUCUCAGCCGCUGGGCUUGGAAAAAAAAUAUCCCAGUUCCGAGUUCAUCGCAUUUCUGGCGUUUGCUGUUGUUUGAGGAACCCAAAAAAAAAAAACACUGGAAAGGGACUGGGGAGGAUCCUGAGCCAGACCUGGGGCCCAUGGAGCCGUUCCAAGGGCUGGAGCCCCUCUGGAAUCAGGCUGGGAGAGCUGGGAAUGUUCACCUCGAGAAGGGAAGGCUCCAG
Long non-coding RNA from Corvus hawaiiensis (hawaiian crow), 974 nucleotides. RefSeq lists it as uncharacterized. The transcript has 3 exons. NCBI's taxonomy places the organism in Eukaryota, Metazoa, Chordata, Aves, Passeriformes, Corvidae. The record is from RefSeq and is a predicted model, not a curated record.